GACGAACGCUGGCGGCGUGCUUAACACACGCAAGUCGAACGGAAAGGCCCUGCUUUUGUGGGGUGCUCGAGUGGCGAACGGGUGAGUAACACGUGAGUAACCUGCCCUUGACUUUGUGAUAACUUCAGGAAACUGGGGCUAAUACCGGAUAGGAGCUCCUGCUGCAUGGUGGGGGUUGGAAAGUUUCGGCGGUUGGGGAUGGACUCGCGGCUUAUCAGCUUGUUGGUGGGGUAGUGGCUUACCAAGGCUUUGACGGGUAGCCGGCCUGAGAGGGUGACCGGCCACAUUGGGACUGAGAUACGGCCCAGACUCCUACGGGAGGCAGCAGUGGGGAAUAUUGCACAAUGGGCGGAAGCCUGAUGCAGCAACGCCGCGUGCGGGAUGACGGCCUUCGGGUUGUAAACCGCUUUCGCCUGUGACGAAGCGUGAGUGACGGUAAUGGGUAAAGAAGCACCGGCUAACUACGUG
RNAcentral lists this ribosomal RNA (468 nucleotides) under uncultured bacterium. Its description in RNAcentral is "partial 16S ribosomal RNA". It matches the Rfam family "Bacterial small subunit ribosomal RNA", at positions 28 to 507 of the family's 1533-position model. The record is from RNAcentral.